Molecule: ribosomal RNA, 652 nt
Filed under: Limosilactobacillus vaginalis
Lineage: Bacteria; Bacillati; Bacillota; Bacilli; Lactobacillales; Lactobacillaceae
Description: bacterial SSU rRNA
Rfam family: Bacterial small subunit ribosomal RNA
Source: RNAcentral
ACUGGCCCAACUGAUAUGACGUGCUUGCACUGAAUUGACGUUGGAUUACCAGUGAGCGGCGGACGGGUGAGUAACACGUGGGCAACCUGCCCUGAAGCGGGGGAUAACAUCUGGAAACAGGUGCUAAUACCGCAUAACAACGAAAACCACAUGGUUUUCGUUUCAAAGAUGGUUUCGGCUAUCACUUCAGGAUGGGCCCGCGGUGCAUUAGCUAGUUGGUAAGGUAACGGCUUACCAAGGCAAUGAUGCAUAGCCGAGUUGAGAGACUGAUCGGCCACAAUGGAACUGAGACACGGUCCAUACUCCUACGGGAGGCAGCAGUAGGGAAUCUUCCACAAUGGGCGCAAGCCUGAUGGAGCAACACCGCGUGAGUGAAGAAGGGUUUCGGCUCGUAAAGCUCUGUUGUUGGAGAAGAACGUGCGUGAGAGUAACUGUUCACGCAGUGACGGUAUCCAACCAGAAAGUCACGGCUAACUACGUGCCAGCAGCCGCGGUAAUACGUAGGUGGCAAGCGUUAUCCGGAUUUAUUGGGCGUAAAGCGAGCGCAGGCGGUUGCUUAGGUCUGAUGUGAAAGCCUUCGGCUUAACCGAAGAAGGGCAUCGGAAACCGGGCGACUUGAGUGCAGAAGAGGACAGUGGAACUCCAUGUGUAG